Molecule: long non-coding RNA, 1062 nt
Filed under: Cricetulus griseus (Chinese hamster)
Lineage: Eukaryota; Metazoa; Chordata; Mammalia; Rodentia; Cricetidae
Description: lncRNA (ENSCGRG00015037338.1)
Source: RNAcentral
UGUUGAUCUGCACAUUUCCUCUCUACAGCUUCUCACCAGUAUUUUUCAAGAGUCUCCUAGUUAUAACCACAGCCCCGCAGAGGCACAGCACUUGCUGGUUCCCACAAGAACUGAACCGAGAUUACCACAAGAAGAGAGCCCAAGGGAGAGGCCUUUGAGAAGCCUGGCCAGUUGUACCCUGACCUCUAGUCUAGAUUAGGAAAAAAAAAAAAAAAAAAAACCUGCUUCAGGCUAAACACAUGGCACUCAUGUAUCUUCAGAGAGUCAGUCUCUCCCUCCAUGGAUUGAUUGUCUUAACCAAAUGCUUUCAUGAGAACUGUCAUUUGCCCUGACAUGACAGGAACAGUCAGGUGAUCACUCUGAAAUUGCUUAGGAUGUCAAGCCAAGAUCCUCUAUGCAGAGUGGAUUGAUGAAUUUCCAAAGAUAGUGCAAGAACGGCAGCUGAUAAGAGUGAACUGGAAGUAGCCCAGCUACACUGGAUCUGUCCGUCCUAAAGAUCCUGAUCCCUGGAAGGUAUUAUUAAGGCAGUGUCAGGGAUGGGCUGUGGCUGGGAGGCCUGGAACACAAACAAGCACAUAGACAGGAAUUGUGGGGAAGAAAGCAGAGCAUACACAGCAAGGAGGAUCCAAGAUGGAAGCCAACACUGAAAGGAAAAUUAUCAGCCCAGGACCCUCAAGUCCAAGUUCUCAGCACAAAGGAGAUUUAUUUGCCCCAGAGGGACAGAGGGCAGGGAAUAAUAGACAAAGACAGGAGACUGAGAACAAGGGAUGAGGGAAAGAGAACAAGGGUCAGGGGGAAGGAGUAUUUGUCCAGAAGACAAAGGACUGCCUCUGGAGAGAGAGGAGACGGACAUGGCAGGCACAUAAGAAAACGGUAGAACAAGAGGAAACCCUAUGUUAGGAUGAGGUGUUUAGUUUUAAUUGGGCAUGAUAAUUGGGUGAGCCAAAGGGGGCUUCUGAUUGCUGGACUUCAGUACUUUGAUAGCUGCACUUUGGUAUUUGGUAGUCAGCCUCAGAAGGAGGAAGCUGCCAGAUAAGGGAAUAGACUUUGGAGACUAGCUUU